UACAGAGGGGGCAAGCGUUAUUCGGAAUUAUUGGGCGUAAAGGGCGCGUAGGCGGCUUGGCAAGUGGAUGGUGAAAUCCCUCGGCUUAACCGAGGAACUGCCGUCCAAACUGCUUCGCUUGAGACCGGGAGAGGUGAGUGGAAUUCCCAGUGUAGCGGUGAAAUGCGUAGAUAUUAGGAAGAACACCAGUGGCGAAGGCGGCCCACUGGUCCGGUACUGACGCUGAGGUGCGAAAGCGUGGGGAGCAAACAGG
Molecule: ribosomal RNA, 253 nt
Filed under: uncultured bacterium
Lineage: Bacteria
Description: partial 16S ribosomal RNA
Rfam family: Bacterial small subunit ribosomal RNA
Source: RNAcentral